This 260-nucleotide ribosomal RNA is filed under the name uncultured Actinomycetes bacterium. RNAcentral describes it as "uncultured actinobacterium partial 16S ribosomal RNA". It matches the Rfam family "Bacterial small subunit ribosomal RNA", at positions 28 to 276 of the family's 1533-position model. The record is from RNAcentral. Lineage: Bacteria; Bacillati; Actinomycetota; Actinomycetes.
GACGAACGCUGGCGGCGUGCUUAACACAUGCAAGUCGAGCGCUGAAGCUUCUUUGGGGGUGGAUGAGCGGCGAACGGGUGAGUAACACGUGGGUGACCUGCCCUCAGCUCUGGGAUAAGCCUGGGAAGCUGGGUCUAAUACCGGAUAUGACCUUCUCUCGCAUGGGGGUUGGUGGAAAGUCUGUGUUGUGAGACAUGGGCGGUUGGGGAUGGGCCCGCGGCCUAUCAGCUUGUUGGUGGGGUGAUGGCCUACCAAGGCGG